GACGAACGCUGGCGGCGUGCUUAACACAUGCAAGUCGAACGGAAAGGCCCUGCUUUUGUGGGGUGCUCGAGUGGCGAACGGGUGAGUAACACGUGAGUAACCUGCCCUUGACUUUGGGAUAACUUCAGGAAACUGGGGCUAAUACCGGAUAGGAGCUCCUGCUGCAUGGUGGGGGUUGGAAAGUUUCGGCGGUUGGGGAUGGACUCGCGGCUUAUCAGCUUGUUGGUGGGGUAGUGGCUUACCAAGGCUUUGACGGGUAGCCGGCCUGAGAGGGUGACCGACCACAUUGGGACUGAGAUACGGCCCAGACUACUACGGGAGGCAGCAGUGGGGAAUAUUGCACAAUGGGCGGAAGCCUGAUGCAGCAACGCCGCGUGCGGGAUGACGGCCUUCGGGUUGUAAACCGCUUUCGCCUGUGACGAAGCGUGAGUGACGGUAAUGGGUAAAGAAGCACCGGCUAACUACGUG
RNAcentral lists this ribosomal RNA (468 nucleotides) under uncultured bacterium. RNAcentral describes it as "partial 16S ribosomal RNA". It matches the Rfam family "Bacterial small subunit ribosomal RNA", at positions 28 to 507 of the family's 1533-position model. The record is from RNAcentral.